CCUGAGACAUCCUUCCUACACCACUCAGGAGCAUAGCAGGCCCCGACAUGGAUUUUUAAGCUAGUAACUAAGCAACAUGAUGAUGGAGCAGAGGGGGCUGGGCCACAGUCUAUAGUUCUAGGCUCCCUUAAGCUUCGAAAAGGACCUCAGUACUGCAGAUGCCCCAUCCGCAGAGUGAUAUGGAGGCUGAACUUGGACAACUUGUAGCUUGCAUUGUCUAGUGAGAAGCAAGAGAAUAGCAGAUUCAGGGUGUCAGCAGCCUCCCAAGAGAACACCAUACCCAACAGACUAGAGAGAAUUGCCUACCAGCGAGAGAGGCUGGGCUGUGUUACAGCUAGCUGACAUGCCAGUCAGAGUGAAGACACGUUUUGGAGGUGGAAAAGUCCAUAGAAAUGGGGCAGUGCAGGGCUGGGGUUCUCCUAGGAGCUUUUUCUUCUUUCUGGUCCCAGUAUUAGAUAUGGUGCCCAGACUGUAAGUUUCAGCCAGAAAGGAAGAUGAGAAAUUCUCUGCUACACAUCAGGAUGGAAAGAUACAAAAA
RNAcentral lists this long non-coding RNA (538 nucleotides) under Rattus norvegicus (Norway rat). Its description in RNAcentral is "long non-coding RNA NONRATT019820". The record is from RNAcentral. Lineage: Eukaryota; Metazoa; Chordata; Mammalia; Rodentia; Muridae.